GAGAAUGGCGGGUCUUACCAUGACAGUCGAGCGGUAAGGCCCUUCGGGGUACACGAGCGGCGAACGGGUGAGUAACACGUGAGCAACCUGCCCCCGACUCCGGGAUAAGCGGUGGAAACGCCGUCUAAUACCGGAUACGACCGGCCACCUCAUGGCGGCCGGUGGAAAGUUUUUCGGUUGGGGAUGGGCUCGCGGCCUAUCAGCUUGUUGGUGGGGUAAAGGCCUACCAAGGCGAUUACGGGUAGCCGGCCUGAGAGGGCGACCGGCCACACUGGGACUGAGACACGGCCCAGACUCCUGCGGGAGGCAGCAGUGGGGAAUAUUGCGCAAUGGGCGAAAGCCUGACGCAGCGACGCCGCGUGGGGGAUGACGGCCUUCGGGUUGUAAACCUCUUUUACCACCAACGCAGGCUCCCAGUUCUCUGGGGGUUGACGGUAGGUGGGGAAUAAGGACCGGCUAACUACGUGCCAGCAGCCGCGGUAAUACGUAGGGUCCGAGCGUUGUCCGGAAUUAUUGGGCGUAAAGAGCUCGUAGGCGGCGUGUCGCGUCUGCUGUGAAAGACCGGGGCUUAACCCCGGUUCUGCAGUGGAUACGGGCAUGCUAGAGGUAGGUAGGGGAGACUGGAAUUCCUGGUGUAGCGGUGAAAUGCGCAGAUAUCAGGAGGAACACCGGUGGCGAAGGCGGGUCUCUGGGCCUUACCUGACGCUGAGGAGCGAAAGCAUGGGGAGCGAACAGGAUUAGAUACCCUGGUAGUCCAUGCCGUAAACGUUGGGCGCUAGGUGUGGGGACUUUCCACGGUUUCCGCGCCGUAGCUAACGCAUUAAGCGCCCCGCCUGGGGAGUACGGCCGCAAGGCUAAAACUCAAAGGAAUUGACGGGGGCCCGCACAAGCGGCGGAGCAUGUUGCUUAAUUCGACGCAACGCGAAGAACCUUACCAAGGUUUGACAUCACCCGUGGACCUGCAGAGAUGUGGGGUCAUUUAGUUGGUGGGUGACAGGGU
RNAcentral lists this ribosomal RNA (1000 nucleotides) under Nocardiopsis sp. ZZY-2013. Its description in RNAcentral is "bacterial SSU rRNA". It matches the Rfam family "Bacterial small subunit ribosomal RNA", at positions 35 to 1040 of the family's 1533-position model. The record is from RNAcentral. Lineage: Bacteria; Bacillati; Actinomycetota; Actinomycetes; Streptosporangiales; Nocardiopsidaceae.